This 661-nucleotide ribosomal RNA is filed under the name Aureobasidium sp. Its description in RNAcentral is "partial large subunit ribosomal RNA". It matches the Rfam family "Eukaryotic large subunit ribosomal RNA", at positions 76 to 755 of the family's 3401-position model. Lineage: Eukaryota; Fungi; Ascomycota; Dothideomycetes; Dothideales; Saccotheciaceae. The record is from RNAcentral.
UGCCCUAGUAACGGCGAGUGAAGCGGCAACAGCUCAAAUUUGAAAGCUAGCCUUCGGGUUCGCAUUGUAAUUUGUAGAGGAUGAUUUGGGGAAGCCGCCUGUCUAAGUUCCUUGGAACAGGACGUCAUAGAGGGUGAGAAUCCCGUAUGUGACAGGAAAUGGCACCCUAUGUAAAUCUCCUUCGACGAGUCGAGUUGUUUGGGAAUGCAGCUCUAAAUGGGAGGUAAAUUUCUUCUAAAGCUAAAUAUUGGCGAGAGACCGAUAGCGCACAAGUAGAGUGAUCGAAAGAUGAAAAGCACUUUGGAAAGAGAGUUAAAAAGCACGUGAAAUUGUUGAAAGGGAAGCGCUUGCAAUCAGACUUGUUUAAACUGUUCGGCCGGUCUUCUGACCGGUUUACUCAGUUUGGACAGGCCAGCAUCAGUUUCGGCGGCCGGAUAAAGGCUCUGGGAAUGUGGCCUCCACUUCGGUGGAGGUGUUAUAGCCCAGGGUGUAAUACGGCCAGCCGGGACUGAGGUCCGCGCUUCGGCUAGGAUGCUGGCGUAAUGGUUGUAAGCGACCCGUCUUGAAACACGGACCAAGGAGUCUAACAUCUAUGCGAGUGUUCGGGUGUCAAACCCCUGCGCGUAAUGAAAGUGAACGGAGGUGGGAACCCGCAAGGGUG